This 465-nucleotide ribosomal RNA is filed under the name uncultured bacterium. Its description in RNAcentral is "partial 16S ribosomal RNA". It matches the Rfam family "Bacterial small subunit ribosomal RNA", at positions 28 to 507 of the family's 1533-position model. The record is from RNAcentral.
GACGAACGCUGGCGGCGUGCUUAACACAUGCAAGUCGAACGGAAAGGCCCCUUUGGGGGUACUCGAGUGGCGAACGGGUGAGUAACACGUGAGUAACCUGCCCUUGACUUCGGGAUAACUUCAGGAAACUGGGGCUAGUACCGGAUAGGAAUCCUUGCUGCAUGGUGGGGGUUGGAAAGCUUCGGCGGUUUUGGAUGGACUCGCGGCUUAUCAGCUUGUUGGUGGGGUAGUGGCUUACCAAGGCUUUGACGGGUAGCCGGCCUGAGAGGGCGACCGGCCACAUUGGGACUGAGAUACGGCCCAGACUCCUACGGGAGGCAGCAGUGGGGAAUAUUGCACAAUGGGCGGAAGCCUGAUGCAGCAACGCCGCGUGCGGGAUGACGGCCUUCGGGUUGUAAACCGCUUUCAGCAGGGGCGAAGCUUGUGGUGACGGUACCUGCAGAAGAAGCACCGGCUAACUACGUG